GAUGAACGCUAGCGGCAUGCCUAAGGUAUGCAAGUCGUGCGCAAAAACCACCUUCGGGUGGGUGGGAAAGCGGCGGACGGGUGAGUAACGCGUAGAAACAUACCCCAGAGUGAGGGAUAAUUCCGGGAAACCGGGACUAAUACCGCAUAUUGUCUAAGGACAAAAGAUUUAUCGCUUUGGGAAUGGUCUGCGUCCGAUUAGCUUGUUGGUGAGGUAAAGGCUCACCAAGGCUAUGAUCGGUAGCUGGUUUGAGAGGAUGAUCAGCCACACUGGAACUGAGACACUGUCCAGACCCCUACGGGGGGCGAGCAACUAGGAAUCUUCCACAAUGGGCGAAAGCCUGAUGGAGCAAUGCCGCGUGCAGGAUGAAGGACUUCGGUUCGUAAACUGC
This 391-nucleotide ribosomal RNA is filed under the name uncultured bacterium. RNAcentral describes it as "bacterial SSU rRNA". It matches the Rfam family "Bacterial small subunit ribosomal RNA", at positions 28 to 433 of the family's 1533-position model. The record is from RNAcentral.